UGGCUGCCCCCGGGGCUACACAGCAGCUUUGUUUAUAUAAACUAUAGUAGUCUUUCUGAAGCAAACACAAACUUUUACCUUUGCAGGGCUUUGCUACACUUUACAUUUUUGGUCUUACUGUCCCUUUAAGUCUUUCAGGGCUCAGUGUCCUUCUAUGGAAAGUGGUGGCAGUUCAGUUCCCACCCAGCCAAGCUGGUAGCCUAUUGGUCUGUGUGUGGGUCCUGCCAAGUUCUAGGGUUGCCACCUCACCCCUUUAAUACUGGCCACAUAUUGAAUCCACAUGUUGCAUGGCUAAUUAGCAAUUCAUAUAGAUGCAUGCUGCAUGGCUGUACAUGAACCAGUUCAGUCUGCAGCAUGCAUCUCAAUGAUUUGUUAAUUAGCCAUGCAAGGCGUGGAUUCAAUAUGUGGCCGGUAUUAAAGAGUGGUCAGGGCUUUAUUUGGCCGCAUCUAAUUGUGAGCGGUGCCCUUUAAACAUAUAGUUGAUGGCUGCAGGGAAUUAUAAUCCAUCCUGCUAUACGGCUAAGGGGGAGGCUGGUGUGUGUGACCUUCACUUUCAGCCACUAAUCUCAGGUCACAGGCCUGAUAAAUCCCAACGGCAUCCGCCAAACAGCGAAUGGGGCAUGAGAAGGAUGUGAGGGAUUUGAGAGUCAGUUCAGCAAAAGCCCCGGAGCCUUGAGAUUCAGUUGGAUUUCCUAAUGAAACAAUAAGCAGCACAAGGUCAGGUACCCAUCCCUGGGAGGGAAAUGCACGAGCACCAUGGUACUACUCCUCCUCCUCCUCCUUCUAUUGUAUAAUUAAAGUCACAAACUCACCUCUGGGUUGGAUCUUGGAGGCUUGUAGAACUCUAAAUUUGGAUGCAGGGCCGGAAUAUUCUUGUGCGCCAGAGCUUUGCCGAGCUCACUCCAACUACUGUAUCCUGG
Xenopus tropicalis (tropical clawed frog) is the source of this 920-nucleotide long non-coding RNA. RefSeq lists it as uncharacterized. The record is from RefSeq and is a predicted model, not a curated record. NCBI's taxonomy places the organism in Eukaryota, Metazoa, Chordata, Amphibia, Anura, Pipidae. The transcript has 2 exons.